This 252-nucleotide ribosomal RNA is filed under the name uncultured bacterium. Its description in RNAcentral is "partial 16S ribosomal RNA". It matches the Rfam family "Bacterial small subunit ribosomal RNA", at positions 524 to 776 of the family's 1533-position model. The record is from RNAcentral.
UACAGAGGGUGCGAACGUUGUUCGGAAUCACUGGGCAUAAAGCGCACGUAGGCGGCACCGCAAGUGUGGGGUGAAAUCCCACGGCUUACCCGUGGAACUGCCUGGCAGACUGCGGUGCUAGAGGUUGGUAGGGGAGAGCGGAACUCUUGGUGGAGCGGUGAAAUGCGUAGAUAUCAAGAGGAACACCGGUGGCGAAGGCGGCUCUCUGGUCCAAUCCUGACGCUGAGGUGCGAAGGCUAGGGAGCAAACGGG